AAAACGUAUUUCGGAUUUUGUGUUUGUCAUCAGAGACGUGUUAUCUACGUCUCUGUUGUCAUGCAUCAUUAAAAGCAUCGAUAGAAAUAAAAGUAAUCGCUUUUGUCAACAUUCGAUUUAGUAAAUCGUGUUUAUGGGGACAGUGUUUAGCAAUCGAUGCAAUCGUUUAAAAAAGUGUGAUUUAAAAUCAAAAAGAUAAACGGAUAGAAUAGCAGAAAAAGGAAUUACAAAUCUCUGUGUUAUUUUGUUAUUAUAAAAACGGAGUAGGGUUGUCAUCGAGGGGGCGGGGCGGGCUGAGUACUCUGAGCAGUCCCAACCUGUCCUGUAUGGUGACCAUCAACCAAGCUCACAUGCUUCCGGGAAGUUGAAUUGCACCCGGGUCGCCGAAGUGAGAAGCGCAUGUGCCAACCACACCGCUAACCGAACAGCCCCACGAGUACACGUUAAAAGGUUGAAUCAUACAAUAUUUGCUACUGCAAGUAACACCAACUCACCAUCAUCGUCCACCUCCCGUAUGAUGCUACGUAUUUCCGCUUCCGGUAUACACUGGCCCUGCACCCGGAAGGCGUUUGACAGCUCCGAUGCGGAGAUUCGCCCGUCCCCGUUCCGGUCAAACAUCUGGAACGUCUUCCGCAGCUCUGAAAUACAAAAUAGUCGUCUAAGCUAUACUUGCUUAGGCAAAAAAGAAUUUGCCUGGAAUUUGUCAUGUUUUGAAAUCGAUUCCAUUCAAAUAAAUUCUUAGAAUGUUUAGUUUCGAAUCUUUAUAUACAUUUUUUGAUUAUUAAAUUGCUGUAUCUUAACUUGUAACGGAUAAUUAUGUAGUUAUUUUUCAUUAUGUAUUAAUUAAUAUACACUUUUUAUAUCGGUUAAAUAUGAACAUUGAAACACCAACGUUUUAAUUAAAGAUGUUUAACCUAUAUGCAAAAAAGUACAAUCAGAGAUUAGUUGAAUUCGAUAAACAAUCGAUAAUUCGAUGCAUCUUAAAAUUUCAUUGCAUCUCUUAAUGACCAUUUUUCCCAUUCAUAUGUUUUUAAAAUGAUGUGAAAAGUAUGAUGUAUGACAAAAAAGAUAAUACAAAGCUCUUCGCCAUGCUAUUCAUCAAGCUUUAAUGUGUUCAACUAUUUAAAUAGCUCCUUUAUUUAAAACAUUCAACACAAUUAUACUGGAAAAAACAAAGCCUGCCAGCUGACAUCAAUAUCACGUGAGUCGCUUUGUGGGAAAACCGUGCUUAAUGCAUGUGUGUAAAGUAUCUUUAAAGAUUAGCCUGUGCAAUCCGAAAAGGCUAUCCAGGGACAACACUUUCCUCUUUCAAUUUUUUUUUUCAAAUUUUAAUGAAGUCACUUUUUAGCGGAAAGGUAUUCUAGGCGGAAAGUGUCGUAAUUGAUUAGCCAGUGCGGACUAAACAAGCUAAUCUGAGACGAAACUUUACCAACAUGUUCAGAUUUUCCAGAACGAAUCUCACGUUUAAACACUAUACAACAUAAUAAAAUCAUAUAGUUACUAGCAUAACAUGUAUGGCAAUAUAUACGAUUAUUUGUUUAAAUACCGAUUACAACUUAUUUUGAUUUACUUUACAUCACACUUUUUUCUUAGCUUAUGGCAAUAAACAAUAAACAAUACACAAUAAACCCAAAACAAAUAAAAGCGUUAAAACUCUUUAAACAAAUGCGAAGUUUGACAAUAUUAUUAAGUGGUACUACAAUUUCAUAGUGUAUGUGUAAGGCUGCUCAUUAGUAAUGUUCGUCUUGUAUUGUUUCCCUACCUUUCAGCUCUUUACUGGAGAGUUUCUUCGCCUGUAAAAUAUAUUAGAAAUCAUACAGAAAUAUCAGCAUGAUGGAAUCAAAUAUUUGGCUUUUAUAUGUCUCAUUAAAUUUAUGUUGAAAAGA
Long non-coding RNA from Dreissena polymorpha, 1886 nucleotides. RefSeq lists it as uncharacterized. The transcript has 3 exons. NCBI's taxonomy places the organism in Eukaryota, Metazoa, Mollusca, Bivalvia, Myida, Dreissenidae. The record is from RefSeq and is a predicted model, not a curated record.